GGCUAGUCCAAAGGUAGCGUCCACCGUCAGUUACAGAUCAGAUCCCUGGUUCUCCUCUUUCCUCCCUUCUCACUACUGCACUUGACUAGUCUCAA
This is an unclassified non-coding RNA of Pan paniscus (pygmy chimpanzee), 95 nucleotides long. It matches the Rfam family "Y RNA". From Rfam's summary of the family: Y RNAs are components of the Ro ribonucleoprotein particle (Ro RNP), in association with Ro60 and La proteins. The Y RNAs and Ro60 and La proteins are well conserved, but the function of the Ro RNP is not known. In humans the RNA component can be one of four small RNAs -- hY1, hY3, hY4 and hY5. Lineage: Eukaryota; Metazoa; Chordata; Mammalia; Primates; Hominidae. The record is from Ensembl.